GACACGGCGAUAAAGCUCUAGACUUGUGAUACUGCAGUUGCUGGACACAGUCAUUGUCAUGCUGUGCAGAAGUUGUGUGAUGCUCUGAGACCUGGAAUAGGAAAAGGCAUGGAGAGAGUUGGAUUCUGUGGAUGUAAAGCGGACAGACACACCUGAAAGAGAGAACACCAGUGCAAAACAAGGAACUUGCCAUUAAGGGCUGCAUGAGAUGGCUCCUGCUCAAGGCAGGCAUUCUGCCACCCUGCCAAGUCCAUCAGAUGAGACUGAAGUGGUGAAACCCUACAGCUUUCAGAGGUUUAGGAAGGAACACCAUGACCGAACAGGCCUGAUUAAGCAGUUAUUUGCCUCUGCAAGCAACUCAGACCUCCCUGUGGUCAGCUGGUGAGAGCACUUGCUGCAAAAUCAGACCUCAGUGACUGAUAAACGCACAAAUAAAUAACUCAGUUGGUGGGGGAUAUGUAAGUGUCUUAGGCACUCACAGGCACUGACGCGACUCCUGCACAGAGCUGUCUCCAGUUCUUGUGUGCUCAGCUCUGGGUUUCCCAACAGAGGCUUGCUGCUCGCUGCCUGCACGCUGGAGGGAAGCUGUUGGCUGUCACCUGAGGAAAACCUCUCUGAACUAUGGUAAGUAGCAGUAGGGAAAUAGCUUACAUCAAAGGCUGAAGCUGCCGCAUUGUUAUGCUCAUUAACUGCAUCAGGCAGAUGUCUUUGCUGGCAUGGCUGAUGCCCAGACUGCUUUCAUCAGCCCUGGUCUGCAGUGCCAGCAGCAGCCUCUGUGCUCGAGUACAAGGCAGG
This is a long non-coding RNA of Neopsephotus bourkii (Bourke's parrot), 795 nucleotides long. RefSeq lists it as uncharacterized. The record is from RefSeq and is a predicted model, not a curated record. The transcript is spliced from 3 exons. Lineage: Eukaryota; Metazoa; Chordata; Aves; Psittaciformes; Psittacidae.